AUGGUGCAUCCGGUGGCGGAGGCCGACGAGCGGAGCCCCAUGGGCGGGCUCACCGCCGACGAGUACUACGCGCGCCACGGGGUCACGCACACCUCCUCCACCUUCGUCAACCCGCGGGGGCUCCGCAUCUUCACCCAGCGCUGGGUGCCCAGCGGGGACGCCCCCGUGCUCGGCGCCAUCGCCGUCGUCCACGGCUUCACCGGCGAGUCCAGCUGGAUGGUGCUCCUCACCGCCGUCCACUUCGCCAAGCAGGGCUUCGCCGUGGCCGCCGUCGACCACCAGGGCCACGGCUUCUCCGAGGGCCUGCAGGCCCACAUCCCGGACAUCACCCCGGUCCUCGACGACUGCGAGGCCGCCUUCGCGCCCUUCCGCGCCGACUACCCGCCGCCGCUGCCCUGCUUCCUCUACGGCGAGUCCCUCGGCGGCGCCAUCGCGCUGCUGCUGCACCUCCGGGACAAGCCCCGCUGGCGCGACGGCGCCGUGCUCAACGGCGCCAUGUGCGGGGUGAGCCCCCGGUUCAUGCCGCCCUGGCCGCUGGAGCACCUGCUCUGGGCGGCGGCCGCCGUCGCGCCCACCUGGCACGUCGCCUUCACCAGGGGGAACAUCCCCGGCCGGUCCUUCAAGGUGGAGUGGAAGCGCGCGCUGGCGCUGGCCAGCCCGCGCCGCACCACGGCGCCGCCCCGCGCCGCCACCGCGCUCGAGCUCCUCCGGGUGUGCCGGGAGCUGCAGGCGCGGUUCGAGGAGCUGGAGCUGCCGCUGCUGGCCGUGCACGGCGGCGACGACACGGUGUGCGACCCGGCGUGCGUGGAGGAGAUGCACCGCCGCGCGGGGAGCAAGGACAAGACGCUGCGCGUGUACCCCGGGAUGUGGCACCAGAUCGUCGGCGAGCCCGAGGAGAACGUGGAGCAGGUCUUCGCCGACGUCCUCGACUGGCUCAAGGCCCGCGCCGCCGGUCCGCACUCCGCACUAGUUGGUUAG
This 978-nucleotide ribosomal RNA is filed under the name Triticum aestivum (bread wheat). Its description in RNAcentral is "partial small subunit ribosomal RNA". Lineage: Eukaryota; Viridiplantae; Streptophyta; Magnoliopsida; Poales; Poaceae. The record is from RNAcentral.